GACGAACGCUGGCGGCGUGCCUAAUACAUGCAAGUCGAGCGAUGAAGGAGAUACUUGUAUCUUUUGAAGAGCGGCGAACGGGUGAGUAACGCGUGGGGAAUCUGCCAAUGAGUGGGGGACAACAUUUGGAAACGAAUGCUAAUACCGCAUAAAAUCUAUUGAGACAUCUCAAGAGAUUGAAAGGAACAAUUGUUUCGCUCGUUGAUGAUCCCGCGUUGUAUUAGCUAGUUGGUGAGGUAAGGGCUCACCAAGGCGAUGAUACAUAGCCGACCUGCGAGGGUGAUCGGCCACAUUGGGACUGAGACACGGCCCAAACUCCUACGGGAGGCAGCAGUAGGGAAUCUUCGUCAAUGGACGAAAGUCUGACCGAGCAACGCCGCGUGAGUGAAGAAGGUUUUCGGAUCGUAAAGCUCUGUUGUUGUUAAAGAACGUUGAUGAGAGUGGAAAGUUCAUCAAGUGACGGUAAACAACCAGAAAGGGACGGCUAACUACGUGCCAGCCGCCGCCGUAA
Molecule: ribosomal RNA, 511 nt
Filed under: uncultured bacterium
Lineage: Bacteria
Description: partial 16S ribosomal RNA
Rfam family: Bacterial small subunit ribosomal RNA
Source: RNAcentral